This 313-nucleotide long non-coding RNA is filed under the name Gossypium raimondii (Peruvian cotton). RNAcentral describes it as "long non-coding RNA (GRAI_LNC006601)". The record is from RNAcentral. Lineage: Eukaryota; Viridiplantae; Streptophyta; Magnoliopsida; Malvales; Malvaceae.
AGAACACGCGGAUCUAUCGGUGUCUGGGUCGGGUCAUCGGUUUUGGUCCAAUACAGCACCGUUUUGGAGCCACUGAUCUGGCUCUAAACGGUGCCAUUUCGAAUGAUAUGUAAGUGGCUCAAAAAACCUAAAAUCCCUAAUAUUUGACCACCUCCCUUAAACAAGUAGAGAGAAAAAAAAGAAGAAAAAAAAAACAAAGCCCCCAUUUUCCUCUUGCGUCGCUCUCCAGCUCUAAAUCUCCAUUCACCCUUCGACUGUGACUAAGCGAUAAGGAUUCGACGGCACCGAUAAGGUAAAUCUCUCAUCCUCCCCG